RNAcentral lists this ribosomal RNA (253 nucleotides) under uncultured bacterium. RNAcentral describes it as "partial 16S ribosomal RNA". It matches the Rfam family "Bacterial small subunit ribosomal RNA", at positions 524 to 776 of the family's 1533-position model. The record is from RNAcentral.
UACGAAGGGGGCUAGCAUUGUUCGGAAUCACUGUGCGUAAAGCGCACGCAGGCGGGUCGAUCAGUCGGGGGUGAAAGCCCGGGGCUCAACCUCGGAAUUGCCUUCGAUACUGUCGGUCUCGAGUCCGGGAGAGGUGAGUGGAAUUCCUAGUGUAGAGGUGAAAUUCGUAGAUAUUAGGAAGAACACCAGUGGCGAAGGCGGCUCACUGGCCCGGUACUGACGCUCAGGUGCGAAAGCGUGGGGAGCAAACAGG